This 119-nucleotide small RNA is filed under the name uncultured Pseudomonas sp. The record is from RNAcentral. Lineage: Bacteria; Pseudomonadati; Pseudomonadota; Gammaproteobacteria; Pseudomonadales; Pseudomonadaceae.
GUUAUUUCUAUGGGUAUUGGUUUAGCCACGGGCUGGCCUGAUACUCAUCAGGCGGCCCGCCUCAGCAGGGUCGCCUACCACAGUUCCACGAAACCCCCGGUCGGCAACCCGACCGGGGG